GGCAGAGGAAGCGUGGCCGAGUGGUUUAGGGCGCUGGUCUUGUAAUCCGGAGGUCCCGGGUUCAAGCCCUCCAUCCUGCCA
RNAcentral lists this transfer RNA (81 nucleotides) under Desmophyllum pertusum. RNAcentral's name for it is "tRNA-Thr". Lineage: Eukaryota; Metazoa; Cnidaria; Anthozoa; Scleractinia; Caryophylliidae. The record is from RNAcentral.